CUUACUGCUAUAAACCCACUUUUUUUUAUAACUUUGCCUUUUGCAGAGAAGUAAGGACAAGUAAAAGAAAACGUCACUGAGGAAAUCCAAUCACACUCUCCCAAAUGCUCAGUACAGUAUUCCAUAUACAGAAUCUAGCAUGCUGCCACCAGGCUUCCAAUUACCCAUCAAGCCCCAGAGCCUGCCAGAUGUACACAGAUGUACCGAGCCCCUGCAGUAUUCCAUCUGGGAAAGGUGCUGACAGAAAAUCAUUACACCAAGCGAGCAGCCCAGUUGAAAAAUCAAAAUGAUACUUUUGUUUCUCAUUGACUUUCUUCCUGAUUCAUUUUGGGAUUUCUAAAGAGUGGUAUGAUACUGCCUUAGAUUCUUUCCAUUUGUCAGUUAAUCAUAUUGAGCAUUUAACCAUAUGCAGAGCACUGUCCUAAGUGCUUGAGAGAGUACAGUUCAACAACACACACAUUCCCUACGCACAAUGAGCUUACAGUCUAGAGGGGGAGACAGAUAUUAAUAUAAAGAAAAUACAGAUAUGUGCAUUAAUGUCCAUGUCCAUUUCUUCUCUGAUUUCCCAUUAAGCUUUUGUUUCAACUUGAAACAUCUUUGUUAUGUAUUGCCUUUCAUGUGCAGGGACCUUUUUUUUAAUGUGAGCUUGCCCAUCUGACAUUUUUCUGACCUCUUACAAGUCUUAAUUAAGAGAGACAUUUUUAGUCCAGGAGCCGUUUUCCAAAAAGGUUGUGACAGAAGGCAAAGAUCCGGGCGAGGAAAUGUACCUACUCAUCCAGGAUGUCUGAAAAAUUCUUUAAGUGUAUUUUGUUUGAGGAAGCAAAAUGGCAGGAUUAGGGAGUGGAAAUGUCAGGGCUACUUUUAGACUAAUGCUUGUUUGUUCUAACUUAGCUUUGGUUUGGGGAACUUUCACAUGCCAAAGAAGAUGGGCUUAUGGAUACGAGGCCAGAGUUAAAAAGGAGGUCUGAUCUCCUAAGCAUAUUGGAGCUGAUGACAGAUCAAUCAAUCUAUUAAUCAAUGGUAUUUAUUGAGUGUUUACUGUGUGCAGAACACUGUACUAAGGGUGUGGGAAAGUUCAAUACAUCAGAGUUGUUAGGUGCUUUUCCUGCCUAUAAGGAGCUUAUAGUCUAGAGGAGGAGUUUAUAGUCCAGAGGAAGAAUUUAUAAGUCUAGA
RNAcentral lists this long non-coding RNA (1173 nucleotides) under Ornithorhynchus anatinus (platypus). RNAcentral's name for it is "lncRNA (ENSOANG00000045716.1)". The record is from RNAcentral. Lineage: Eukaryota; Metazoa; Chordata; Mammalia; Monotremata; Ornithorhynchidae.